UAGGGAAUAUUGGGCAAUGGAGGCAACUCUGACCCAGCCAUGCCGCGUGAAGGAAUACAGCCCUAUGGGUUUUAAACUUCUUUUAUUAUAGAGUAACCGUGAGGACGUGUCCUCACCUGCAAGUAUAUAAUGAAUAAGCAUCGGCUAACUCCGUGCCAGCAGCCGCGGUAAUACGGAGGAUGCAAGCGUUAUCCGGAUUUAUUGGGUUUAAAGGGUGCGCAGGCUGAUCGAUAAGUCAGGGGUGAAACUUUACAGCUUAACUGUAAACGUGCCUUUGAUACUGUCGGACUAGAGUUUAAGAGACGUAACCGGAAUGUGAUGUGUAGCGGUGAAAUGCUUAGAUAUGUCACAGAACGCCGAUCGUGAAGACAGGUUACGAACUUAAUACUGACGCUCAUGCACGAAAGCGUGGGGAUCAAACA
This 422-nucleotide ribosomal RNA is filed under the name uncultured Bacteroidota bacterium. Its description in RNAcentral is "uncultured Bacteroidetes bacterium partial 16S ribosomal RNA". It matches the Rfam family "Bacterial small subunit ribosomal RNA", at positions 355 to 774 of the family's 1533-position model. Lineage: Bacteria; Pseudomonadati; Bacteroidota. The record is from RNAcentral.